UCUUGAUAUAUUCCAUAUCUUCUUUUCAAGCUGUAACUUAUGGUGGCCUACUGGGUUAGAUGCAACUUUGCAUGAAACAAGAGUAUUCCUUAAAGUCCUAAAGUGGUUUAACCAGUUGGUUAUUUGGAGCUAUCUUCCAAAUCGGUCAAUCAGUUUUGUUUAUUAGCAAGUAUUGCUAAUCAUCUCCCCAAGAUGGUUCAAUAUGUCUGAUGUUAAGAGUGUUGGCGCUUUUUGGAGGAAGUGGUCCAAUGGGAGUGGAGCACUAGAGAGAUCCUGUUGUUUUUUUUAACCUGUAAGCAGUGUAGCAGAUAUGUACUCAAAUUAUGUAAGCAGUGUAGCAGAUAUGUACUCGAAUUUCAUAAACAGUGUAGCAGAUAUGUACUCGAUAUAAUGAGCAUGUAGACACACACGUUUGGUAGUCAGGGUAUUGUGGUCAUUUCCAUGUUUUAAUUAAUUGUGGACCUUCAGAUA
Molecule: long non-coding RNA, 471 nt
Organism: Papaver somniferum (opium poppy)
Lineage: Eukaryota; Viridiplantae; Streptophyta; Magnoliopsida; Ranunculales; Papaveraceae
Exons: 3
Source: RefSeq, a predicted model, not a curated record